UUUAGUUAAUGAAUUAUGAGUGACUUCCUCACGCACGCUGUUAUUGUAACUGAACCACUGAGGACCAGGAAUGGUUAUUAAAAGUGGACCCACAAUGAUUAUGAUGACAGUACAGUACUGCCACUUUUUAAAGGGCUGCACCAGCAAGUAGGCCUGAGGCAACUUCUCAACCUGUGAACAAUAGGAAGUCAGUCAAAGCUAAGAAAAGAAAAGCCAGCAAGGGAAAAGCAAGCAAGGCGAAGGG
Lineus longissimus is the source of this 244-nucleotide long non-coding RNA. RefSeq lists it as uncharacterized. The transcript has 3 exons. The record is from RefSeq and is a predicted model, not a curated record. Lineage: Eukaryota; Metazoa; Nemertea; Pilidiophora; Heteronemertea; Lineidae.